This 510-nucleotide ribosomal RNA is filed under the name uncultured microorganism. RNAcentral describes it as "bacterial SSU rRNA". It matches the Rfam family "Bacterial small subunit ribosomal RNA", at positions 9 to 514 of the family's 1533-position model. The record is from RNAcentral.
GAGUUUGAUCAUGGCUCAGGAUGAACGCUGGCGGCGUGCUUAACACAUGCAAGUCGAACGAAGCGCCUUAUUUGAUUUUCUUCGGAACUGAAGAUUUGGUGACUGAGUGGCGGACGGGUGAGUAACGCGUGGGGUAACCUGCCCUGUACAGGGGGGAUAACAAUCAGAAAUGACUGCUAAUACCGCAUAAGACCACAGCACCGCAUGGUGCAGGGGUAAAAAACUCCGGUGGUACAGGAUGGACCCGCGUCUGAUUAGCUGGUUGGUGAGGUAACGGCUCACCAAGGCGACGAUCAGUAGCCGGCUUGAGAGAGUGAACGGCCACAUUGGGACUGAGACACGGCCCAAACUCCUACGGGAGGCAGCAGUGGGGAAUAUUGCACAAUGGGGGAAACCCUGAUGCAGCAACGCCGCGUGAGUGAAGAAGUAUUUCGGUAUGUAAAGCUCUAUCAGCAGGGAAGAAAGUGACGGUACCUGACUAAGAAGCCCCGGCUAACUACGUGCCAGCCG